RNAcentral lists this ribosomal RNA (1358 nucleotides) under uncultured bacterium. RNAcentral's name for it is "bacterial SSU rRNA". It matches the Rfam family "Bacterial small subunit ribosomal RNA", at positions 28 to 1381 of the family's 1533-position model. The record is from RNAcentral.
GAUGAACGCUAGCUACAGGCUUAACACAUGCAAGUCGAGGGGCAGCAUGGUCUUAGCUUGCUAAGGCCGAUGGCGACCGGCGCACGGGUGAGUAACACGUAUCCAACCUGCCGUCUACUCUUGGACAGCCUUCUGAAAGGAAGAUUAAUACAAGAUGGCAUCAUGAGUCCACAUGUUCACAUGAUUAAAGGUAUUCCGGUAGACGAUGGGGAUGCGUUCCAUUAGAUAGUAGGCGGGGUAACGGCCCACCUAGUCUUCGAUGGAUAGGGGUUCUGAGAGGAAGGUCCCCCACAUUGGAACUGAGACACGGUCCAAACUCCUACGGGAGGCAGCAGUGAGGAAUAUUGGUCAAUGGGCGAGAGCCUGAACCAGCCAAGUAGCGUGAAGGAUGACUGCCCUAUGGGUUGUAAACUUCUUUUAUAAAGGAAUAAAGUCGGGUAUGGAUACCCGUUUGCAUGUACUUUAUGAAUAAGGAUCGGCUAACUCCGUGCCAGCAGCCGCGGUAAUACGGAGGAUCCGAGCGUUAUCCGGAUUUAUUGGGUUUAAAGGGAGCGUAGAUGGAUGUUUAAGUCAGUUGUGAAAGUUUGCGGCUCAACCGUAAAAUUGCAGUUGAUACUGGAUAUCUUGAGUGCAGUUGAGGCAGGCGGAAUUCGUGGUGUAGCGGUGAAAUGCUUAGAUAUCACGAAGAACUCCGAUUGCGAAGGCAGCCUGCUAAGCUGCAACUGACAUUGAGGCUCGAAAGUGUGGGUAUCAAACAGGAUUAGAUACCCUGGUAGUCCACACGGUAAACGAUGAGUACUCGCUGUUUGCGAUAUACAGCAAGCGGCCAAGCGAAAGCGUUAAGUAUUCCACCUGGGGAGUACGCCGGCAACGGUGAAACUCAAAGGAAUUGACGGGGGCCCGCACAAGCGGAGGAACAUGUGGUUUAAUUCGAUGAUACGCGAGGAACCUUACCCGGGCUUAAAUUGCAGAUGAAUUACGGUGAAAGCCGUAAGCCGCAAGGCAUCUGUGAAGGUGCUGCAUGGUUGUCGUCAGCUCGUGCCGUGAGGUGUCGGCUUAAGUGCCAUAACGAGCGCAACCCUUGUUGUCAGUUACUAACAGGUUCCGCUGAGGACUCUGACAAGACUGCCAUCGUAAGAUGUGAGGAAGGUGGGGAUGACGUCAAAUCAGCACGGCCCUUACGUCCGGGGCUACACACGUGUUACAAUGGGGGGUACAGAGGGCCGCUACCACGCGAGUGGAUGCCAAUCCCAAAAACCUCUCUCAGUUCGGACUGGAGUCUGCAACCCGACUCCACGAAGCUGGAUUCGCUAGUAAUCGCGCAUCAGCCACGGCGCGGUGAAUACGUUCCCGGGCCU